Molecule: ribosomal RNA, 255 nt
Filed under: uncultured bacterium
Lineage: Bacteria
Description: partial 16S ribosomal RNA
Rfam family: Bacterial small subunit ribosomal RNA
Source: RNAcentral
GACGUAGGGAGCGAGCGUUGUCCGGAUUCAUUGGGCGUAAAGGGUCCGUAGGCGGCUCAGCAAGUCGGGUGUGAAAUCUCCAGGCUCAACCUGGAGGGGCCACUCGAUACUGCUGUGGCUUGAGUCCAGUAGGGGAGCAUGGAAUUCCCGGUGUAGCGGUGAAAUGCGCAGAUAUCGGGAGGAACACCGGUGGCGAAGGCGGUUCUCUGGGCCGUGUACUGACGCUGAGGAGCGAAAGCGUGGGGAGCGAACAGG